GCCUAACACAUGCAAGUCGAACGGCAGCACAGGAGAGCUUGCUCUCUGGGUGGCGAGUGGCGGACGGGUGAGGAAUACAUCGGAAUCUACCUUUUCGUGGGGGAUAACGUAGGGAAACUUACGCUAAUACCGCAUACGACCUACGGGUGAAAGUGGGGGACCGCAAGGCCUCACGCGAUUAGAUGAGCCGAUGUCCGAUUAGCUAGUUGGCGGGGUAAUGGCCCACCAAGGCGACGAUCGGUAGCUGGUCUGAGAGGAUGAUCAGCCACACUGGAACUGAGACACGGUCCAGACUCCUACGGGAGGCAGCAGUGGGGAAUAUUGGACAAUGGGCGCAAGCCUGAUCCAGCCAUACCGCGUGGGUGAAGAAGGCCUUCGGGUUGUAAAGCCCUUUUGUUGGGAAAGAAAUCCUGUCGAUUAAUACUCGGUGGGGAUGACGGUACCCAAAGAAUAAGCACCGGCUAACUUCGUGCCAGCAGCCGCGGUAAUACGAAGGGUGCAAGCGUUACUCGGAAUUACUGGGCGUAAAGCGUGCGUAGGCGGCUUUUUAAGUCGGAUGUGAAAUCCCCGAGCUUAACUUGGGAAUUGCAUUCGAUACUGGGAAGCUAGAGUAUGGGAGAGGAUGGUAGAAUUCCAGGUGUAGCGGUGAAAUGCGUAGAGAUCUGGAGGAAUACCGAUGGCGAAGGCAGCCAUCUGGCCUAAUACUGACGCUGAGGUACGAAAGCAUGGGGAGCAAACAGGAUUAGAUACCCUGGUAGUCCAUGCCGUAAACGAUGU
This 777-nucleotide ribosomal RNA is filed under the name uncultured bacterium. RNAcentral's name for it is "bacterial SSU rRNA". It matches the Rfam family "Bacterial small subunit ribosomal RNA", at positions 46 to 812 of the family's 1533-position model. The record is from RNAcentral.